This 1650-nucleotide ribosomal RNA is filed under the name Triticum aestivum (bread wheat). RNAcentral describes it as "partial small subunit ribosomal RNA". Lineage: Eukaryota; Viridiplantae; Streptophyta; Magnoliopsida; Poales; Poaceae. The record is from RNAcentral.
AUGGCUGCUGCCGCCACGAGGAGGGCCGCCUCCUCGCUCGCCUCCCGCUGCCUGCUCUCCAGGCCCGCAGCGUCGCCCGCUGCUGUCCCCUCCGCGCUCCGCAGGGCAGAUGGGGCACGUGGAUUGUUGCCAGGACUCCUUCAGAGGUUCGGCACUGCGGCAGCAGCAGAGGAGCCCAUUUCGCCUUCUGUCCAAGUGGGCGAGACACAGCUCCUUAUCAACGGCAAAUUCGUCGAUGCUGCAUCUGGUAAAACUUUCCCGACUGUGGACCCUCGCACCGGGGAGGUGAUUGCCCGUGUGGCCGAAGGAGAUGCCGAAGAUGUUGACCGUGCGGUUGUUGCUGCCCGCAAGGCAUUCGAUGAAGGGCCAUGGCCCAGGAUGACUGCCUAUGAGAGAUCCCGCAUUCUUCUGCGGUUUGCUGAUUUGAUAGAGAAACACAAUGACGAUAUCGCUGCACUGGAAACGUGGGACAACGGGAAGCCCUAUGAGCAAGCUGCCCACAUCGAAGUGCCGAUGCUUGCCCGGCUUAUGCGGUACUAUGCAGGCUGGACUGACAAGAUCCAUGGUCUCAUCGUACCGGCUGAUGGCCCGCACCAUGUACAGGUGCUUCACGAGCCGAUUGGUGUCGUGGGUCAGAUCAUCCCGUGGAACUUCCCACUUUUGAUGUAUGGCUGGAAAGUUGGCCCUGCUUUGGCAUGUGGAAACACUAUUGUCCUCAAGACUGCCGAACAAACUCCUCUAUCUGCUCUCUAUGUUUCUAAGCUGUUGCAUGAGGCUGGACUACCCGAAGGUGUCCUGAACAUCGUAUCUGGUUUCGGUCCUACUGCCGGGGCUGCUCUUGCUAGCCACAUGGAUGUUGACAAGAUUGCAUUCACUGGAUCAACCGAUACUGGAAAAGUUAUUCUUGAGUUAUCUGCACGGAGCAAUCUUAAGCCAGUGACACUGGAGCUAGGAGGCAAGUCUCCUUUUAUCGUCAUGGAUGAUGCAGAUAUCGACCAAGCCGUUGAGCUUGCGCAUUUUGCGCUGUUUUUUAACCAGGGACAAUGCUGCUGCGCUGGGUCUCGCACGUUCGUACAUGAGCGUGUUUAUGAUGAGUUUGUUGAGAAGUCCAAGGCUCGCGCUUUGAAGCGUGUAGUUGGUGAUCCAUUCAGGAAGGGUGUUGAGCAGGGUCCUCAGAUUGAUGAUGAGCAAUUCAAGAAGAUCUUGCGCUACAUCAAGUCGGGUGUGGACAGUGGAGCCACCCUUGUGACGGGUGGUGACAAGUUGGGUGACAAAGGUUACUACAUCCAGCCAACAAUUUUCUCAGAUGUGCAGGAUGGCAUGAAAAUUGCCCAAGAGGAGAUAUUUGGGCCUGUUCAGUCAAUCUUCAAGUUCAAUGACCUCAACGAGGUGAUCAAGAGGGCGAACGCAAGCCAGUACGGAUUGGCUGCCGGUGUUUUCACCAACAACCUGGACACGGCCAACACCUUGACGCGUGCCCUCAGGGCCGGCACGGUCUGGGUGAAUUGCUUUGACAUCUUCGACGCGGCGAUCCCCUUCGGCGGGUACAAGAUGAGCGGCAUCGGUAGGGAGAAGGGCAUCGACAGCCUGAAGAACUACCUGCAAGUCAAGGCGGUCGUCACCGCGCUUAAGAACCCCGCGUGGUUGUGA